This 577-nucleotide ribosomal RNA is filed under the name uncultured bacterium. RNAcentral describes it as "partial 16S ribosomal RNA". It matches the Rfam family "Bacterial small subunit ribosomal RNA", at positions 355 to 932 of the family's 1533-position model. The record is from RNAcentral.
UGAGGAAUAUUGGUCAAUGGGCGAGAGCCUGAACCAGCCAAAUCGCGUGAAGGAAGACUGCCUUAUGGGUUGUAAACUUCUUUUAUACAGGAAUAAAAAAGGGGACGUGUCCCUUAUUGCAUGUACUGUAUGAAUAAGCAUCGGCUAACUCCGUGCCAGCAGCCGCGGUAAUACGGAGGAUGCGAGCGUUAUCCGGAUUUAUUGGGUUUAAAGGGUGCGCAGGCGGGCUUUUAAGUCAGCGGUGAAAUCUCGGGGCUUAACUCCGAAACUGCCGUUGAAACUGGGAGUCUUGAGUAUGGAUGAAGUAGGCGGAAUUCGUUGUGUAGCGGUGACAUGCUUAGAUAUAACGAGGAACUCCGAUUGCGUAGGCAGCUUACUAAGCCAUAACUGACGCUCAAGCACGAAAAGCGUGGGGAUCAAAACAGGAUUAGAUACCCCUGGUAGUCCACGCCGUAAAACGAUGAUUACUAGUUGUAUGCGAUAUACCGUAUGUGACUAAGCGAAAAGCGAUAAGUAAUCCACCUGGGGGAGUACGCCGGCAACGGUAAACUCAAAGGAAUUGACGGGGUCAUAGCUG